GUGCCAGCAGCUGCGGUAAUACGUAGGGUGCGAGCGUUGUCCGGAAUUAUUGGGCGUAAAGAGCUCGUAGGCGGCUUGUCGCGUCGGAUGUGAAAGCCCGGGGCUUAACUCCGGGUCUGCAUUCGAUACGGGCAGGCUAGAGUUCGGUAGGGGAGAUCGGAAUUCCUGGUGUAGCGGUGAAAUGCGCAGAUAUCAGGAGGAACACCGGUGGCGAAGGCGGAUCUCUGGGCCGAUACUGACGCUGAGGAGCGAAAGCGUGGGAGCGAACAGGAUUAGAUACCCUGGUAGUCCACGCCGUAAACGUUGGGAACUAGGUGUGGCGACAUUCCACGUUGUCCGUGCCGUAGCUAACGCAUUAAG
Molecule: ribosomal RNA, 360 nt
Filed under: uncultured bacterium
Lineage: Bacteria
Description: bacterial SSU rRNA
Rfam family: Bacterial small subunit ribosomal RNA
Source: RNAcentral